CACGGGGGGAGCAAGCGUUGUUCGGAAUCACUGGGCGUAAAGGGCGUGUAGGCGGUCAGGUAAGUGGGAUGUGAAAUGCCCCGGCUCACCCGGGGCACUGCAUUCCAAACUGCCGGGCUUGAGUAUGGGAGAGGAUGAGGGAAUUCCUGGUGUGGCGGUGAAAUGCGUAGAUAUCAGGAGGAACACCAGUGGCGAAGGCGCUCAUCUGGCCCAAUACUGACGCUGAGGCGCGAAAGCUAGGGGAGCAAACGGG
RNAcentral lists this ribosomal RNA (253 nucleotides) under uncultured bacterium. RNAcentral describes it as "partial 16S ribosomal RNA". It matches the Rfam family "Bacterial small subunit ribosomal RNA", at positions 524 to 776 of the family's 1533-position model. The record is from RNAcentral.